CAACCAGGGCCCGCUCGCCCGUCCGCUUCACCAGGAUUGGCGAGCGUCUCAGCCAAUGGAGAAGCGACAAGAGCGGCGGAGCGUCGGCGCCGAGGGGCGGGGGAUUGCGGAGGAGGUGGCUCCCACCCUUGGUCCUCCGCCGCCGGGUCGCGAUGAGGCUUUGACCCGGCUCCCUUUCAGAGCGAAGGGACGUGUGAUAGCUAUCCACACCUGUUCCAGCUGUAACAGCAACUAAAAGUAACCCCGCCUUAUAUGAACUGCUGCUACACUGAGUUUGGCAUCCACUAUUAGCCCUUAAUCAUACUGUCCUGAGGUGUUUGGGAUUGUAUCAUGUAGGCCAGUCUUAGCUCUCUAAUUAGAUGAUGAAGGAACUGAGGCCCUGUGACUCCUCUAGGAUCAGAGAGCUGGUCCUUGCUGCCUUCCAAGGAAUUUAUUCAGUCUGCACAAGCUGCUGGCUGCUCUGCUUGGCCGGGCCUGUGGUCAUCCACCCUGAGCGCUGGACACCCUCCAUUUCCUGCCAGGUGUUUCUGCCGCAGCUUCCUGAGGUGGUGCUGCACUUGCCCAGGGGGCCGCUUCCAACAUUCCCAAGGCUGCAGACUCUCUAGGAGCCCAAAGAGCCUUCUGCUCCCUCCAGACCUCCCAGCGCCAGUCUGUCUAUUUGCACAUGAAUUGGGGGAAAUGUUCCCCCUCCCUAAGGUUGAUCUCAGCCCCUGGAGCUGGGGUGAGCACCAAUACUAGGCUCUCUGCUUCCUUGCCCUGCUUUCACUUAGGAAUUCGCCUCGUUCAUUGCUUGCUCCUAGAACCUUCAAAAUGUUCCCCUUGAAGACACUUUUCCCCUUCUAAAUCACUCAGGCGGAUAAUUUGGAGGGAAAAAAAUGAGUCUUCUCUGACCCCACAUCUAUGCAAAUAGCUUAGAUCCGGCCAUACGUAUUUACUUGUACGUGAAUAUGUGAAAAUAUAUGAAUGUAUAUUUGAAAGUGUAAAACCAUAGUUACAAAUAUAGGCAUAUGAGUGAACAAACAGUUCAAAAAGGGACUCAAACACUAAGGGCUGUGCCCACUUUAUGAUUUUACCACUUGUUCCUGUUGGAAUUUUACUUUUACUGUGGUCCACUGCAUCCUUAUUAAUGUAGUUCCAGCUUACAACUAAUUCUGAAUGGGACACACUAUUUUGAUAUGUUUGGAAAGAUCUCCUUAUGCCUUUAAAUAUCGCCACUUUUUUAAACUUUGCCAAGGUCAUAAUGGAGUAAAAGUAUUUCAAAAAUACCAGAGCUUUAUUAUUAAUGUUAUUUUACAAGUUAAAUUAUACAUUAAGGGUCAAGUUGGAAAUGAUAAGAAAUGAUGGUACAAGAUUCAGUAACAAGCCAUGGUUGACAGAGAAAAGUGUAAGUGGGUGCUCAUCUUAUAUGUUUCACAUCCCUCUAUCCACUACAUCUUUUUUUGAAGUGAAAUCGAUAUUACUGCUUAUAUAGUAAGUAUAUAUCCCUUGACACAAACAUAUGUGACAUAUGAAUAAAUGGAAGAGGCGAUGAAGAUAUGUUAAAACAAACUUAUUCGGUCUUUCAGAGAACUCAUUAAAUUACUCUCACUUGGUUCUUAGGGUGGCUAAGCUUGAAAAAUCAGGCUCAAGAAAAUCUGUUGCCCAGGAAAAGAAUAUGUAAUUUAAGGCAAAAGAAUAAAAAA
Molecule: non-coding RNA, 1682 nt
Organism: Equus caballus (horse)
Lineage: Eukaryota; Metazoa; Chordata; Mammalia; Perissodactyla; Equidae
Source: RefSeq, a predicted model, not a curated record